GUUUAACUAAAAGUAAUUAUGUUUGCAUUAGAUUAAGCACUGGUUUGUUCUCCUGCAGAACAAUAGAGGGUUUUGUUUCUCCUUCCCCAUCUCCUGUUCACGUGGCCAGCCUGGCCGAAGCUUUCGGGAGCAAAGCCAUCGUCGUAUCGCAGCUGUGCCCUGGAGCUGUGUCCUCAGAGCCUUUUACUUGCCCUUUGCAAAAAGAAAAAGAGGGUUGAUCGGAAGGGAAAUUGAAAAGAGAGAUUGAGGAUGCUACAGGAUAACUUGGAAAGGUUCAAAGACAUCUUUUAGAGGCAAUUGGAGUACCUCAGUCUUGCCAUGGUGGAUCCAUAUUGUGGCUCAGUUGAUUUCUUCAUGGAGGACAUCAUACGGUUCAUAAGAAUUCUCUCUGUGAAGACAGUGAAGACACAAACAUACAAGAAGGAGCGAGAGAGGGAGAGGGAGAGACAGAGAGAAACAGAGAGACAAAGUGUGUGUGAGAGAGACGUGGGGGUGCUGUUGAGGUAACUGUCUGAACUUUUGGAUCUGACUGCAACAUAACUCUGAAUUUCGAUCAGUGAGGUAAAGGGUGUUACGGCUAGUAUCUAGAUAUCCUCCCAAAGCCUCAUGCACUCGUUUGUGGGGCUUUCGGGAGGUAGCUGGAUCAUGAGUGUGUGAUGCUGGGUUAGAGUGUGAGAUAGCUAAAUUGGUUUAGCAUGGUUCUGGAUGUGCAUAAUGGAAGUCCCACUCUGGAUGUAGGAGGCAUAAAUCAGUAGGCAGCUGCUGCCUGAAUGGAAUAAAAAGGAAAUGAAGAAGGAAGGUUCCUUUAUGCUUUUUUGGUAGAGCUCCAGCCUCCACUUUCACUUUGGACAUUGUCUCCUUGUUUCCAUCACAGACCCUUCAGCCUCCCGAUAUGGACUCAUUGUGGGACACUAGCAUGAGCUCCAGGCCUUUGAUCUUCGACUGGAUCCUUCAGAUCUCCAGCAUGUAGGCAGCCCUUUUGCCCUCUUCUACACCUGACUCAAUGGGCAGCCAUUGUAAACCUGCCUUGCAAAUUAUUAUAUAUUUAUAUCUCUUGCAAUAAAUCUGUUUCUUUAGUGAGCACUGACUGAUACAAAGGAUACGAAAGGAAAAACAAGUUUGAAGAGGAAGAGACUGAAAUUAUGGCAAAAGAAAAGUCUUGAUGAAAUCAAGUCUCAGAAGGAACCUUAGAAGAUGAAGUAAAAGAAUUUUCCUUGCAUGAAAUUUACAUGGUUUCCUUUGAAAGAAAGAUAACAAGUAACAAAUGUACAGAGAUGAUCUUGAGAAGGGGAACAAAGUAAAGGAAAUUUGUAUUAAAUUGCGAAGAUAACCUUCAUGCAGUGAAAAGAUCAGCAAUAAUUUGACAUGUAACAACACGUUAUAUAUUUUUUUCAUAAAGUUACAUGUUGCUUUCAUAGAAGCUCUGCUGCUAAUGGUGUUUUGUAGUUGAUUACAAACAGCACAGAGAAAUAUGAAAAGUAGUAGACAAUAUUGCAAAUUUUUGAGGCAUAUUACAUACACUCAUGUUUUAUAAGCACGGGUCUAUUGUCUGCUGUGUUGUUGUGAUUUUCAAAGAACUAUGAUUAAAUUAAAACAAUUGAAUCCAGUCUUUGCCUUGAUGUCAUUAACUAGCAAACUCAUGACAGAACUUCCUCAGUAUAGUACUGCUUGUUCUCUAUAUUUCUCCUCUUUCC
Long non-coding RNA from Fukomys damarensis (Damara mole-rat), 1694 nucleotides. The record is from Ensembl. NCBI's taxonomy places the organism in Eukaryota, Metazoa, Chordata, Mammalia, Rodentia, Bathyergidae.